RNAcentral lists this unclassified non-coding RNA (217 nucleotides) under Hevea brasiliensis (rubber tree). Lineage: Eukaryota; Viridiplantae; Streptophyta; Magnoliopsida; Malpighiales; Euphorbiaceae. The record is from RNAcentral.
GUCCAAAUCAAUAAAUAGAUCUAACAUAGUUCCCAACUCUGAAAUCUAAAGAUUCUACUUACUCAUGUUAAUGUAUAUAAGAAAAAUUGAUGAAGAAGAAGAGAGAAACAUGAAAAUAGGCUGCAAAUAGAAAGGCUAGGUCGAAGAACCCAAGAUUUCUGAAUUCUAUAGCUCUAGAUGUCUCUAGUAGCUACACUUGCCCAAAAAAUCAAUGGCG